RNAcentral lists this ribosomal RNA (427 nucleotides) under uncultured bacterium. RNAcentral's name for it is "bacterial SSU rRNA". It matches the Rfam family "Bacterial small subunit ribosomal RNA", at positions 355 to 774 of the family's 1533-position model. The record is from RNAcentral.
UGGGGAAUAUUGGUCAAUGGGCGCAAGCCUGAUCCAGCCAUACCGCGUGGGUGAAGAAGGCCUUCGGGUUGUAAAGCCCUUUUGUUGGGAAAGAAAUCCUGUCGGUUAAUAACCGGUAGGGAUGACGGUACCCAAAGAAUAAGCACCGGCUAACUUCGUGCCAGCAGCCGCGGUAAUACGAAGGGUGCAAGCGUUACUCGGAAUUACUGGGCGUAAAGCGUGCGUAGGUGGUUUGUUAAGUCUGAUGUGAAAGCCCUGGGCUCAACCUGGGAAUUGCAUUGGAUACUGGCAGGCUAGAGUGCGGCAGAGGAUGGCGGAAUUCCCGGUGUAGCAGUGAAAUGCGUAGAGAUCGGGAGGAACAUCUGUGGCGAAGGCGGCCAUCUGGACCAGCACUGACACUGAGGCACGAAAGCGUGGGGAGCAAACA